Molecule: long non-coding RNA, 1347 nt
Organism: Orcinus orca (killer whale)
Lineage: Eukaryota; Metazoa; Chordata; Mammalia; Artiodactyla; Delphinidae
Exons: 3
Source: RefSeq, a predicted model, not a curated record
AGAGAAAUCAUAUGGUGAUUUUGAACAAUAUUUCUUGGGCCACAUAUUUUCAACUUAUUUUUGUUAUCAGUAACUGACUGUCUACCUUAAGCAGUUCAUACAGUUCUUAUUUAUUUAUACCCUGACUUAUUCCAGAAAGAACCAGAGUCAGCUCAAGGUUCUCAGCAGAAGCUCAAGCAGAAUUGGCAAAUAACACUUACUGCUCUAAUCACAGAUUUAUAAAUGCCAACUACCCUUGGAUACAAAAGAGUGGCUCAGGUGACUGCAUUCAACAAGGAGUCAGUGGCAAGCUACAGGAGCAAAGAAGAAAGCACAAAGUACGUAAUACUUUGUGAUCUAAGAAGAUCAGUCUGUUCGCUUGAAGAAAAAAACAUGGAUCUGAAUAGUGGGACAGGCCAAAGCAUUUCUAUUUUGUACUUCAAGCAGAAGAUGGUAUCACUGAUAGAAGAGCAGGUACUACAUCUCAAGAACUGGUAAACAAGGACCACUGAUGAAGGUAAGAAAAAGCUGAAUGAGUCCCAAACUUUUUCCACUAAUAAGCCUCACUACCUCCUGUUUUCUAAACUAAUGGUUCUCAAACUUGAAUCUGAGUCAGAAUUCUCUGAAUUACUUGUUAUUCAGCCAGUGAUGGCUGGCCCUAACCCUAGAGUUUGAUUCAAUACCUCUGAGAUGGGGCCCGAGAUUUUGUAUUUCUAACAAUUUACCAGAUGAUACUAAAUGGUAGUUUUGAGGACCACACUUUGAGAACCACUGUCUAAACCAUUUUUAAUCCAUGACUUUUGAUGUGAGACCCCAGUCUAUAACCUCCCAAAGUCCUUCAACAUAAUGCAAUCACUUUAGAAAAAUUGCACAUUUGAAUACUACCAAAACAUAGCUUUUGAUCUUAGGAAUCUGGCCUGGCAAAAUGGACCUGAGUGGGUUUAUAAAUUAAGGGCUCAAGACCCUCAGGAUAGCAGGUGCAUAUAAUAAAGCUACUCAUAACCAUCCAAAUUAAUAAUCACUGAGGCUUAGUAGUAGGCCUGAAAAUUCCCAAUGUGACCCUAACCUGAGUUCCUGAGACAUUCAUAGAAACACAAUGGACACCAACUGAACCCUGGGGAGUAACUAUGCACCUGAGUUGCUUGACAACAUCAACACCAUAUUUCAAGUUCUCCACAGAAGACUAAAGCCUUGCUACUCAAAGCAUGGUCAGUGGACCAGCAGAAUGGGCACCACCUGGGAGCUGGUUAAGAGGCCACAUUUUCAAGUCCACCCCUGCCCUAACAAUCAGAAUUCACACUUUACCAAGGUUCACAGCUGAUCCCCAGACACAUUAAGGUUUGAGAAGCUAGCUGGACUAAAGGAUGU